RNAcentral lists this ribosomal RNA (460 nucleotides) under uncultured bacterium. RNAcentral's name for it is "partial 16S ribosomal RNA". It matches the Rfam family "Bacterial small subunit ribosomal RNA", at positions 338 to 795 of the family's 1533-position model. The record is from RNAcentral.
CCUACGGGUGGCAGCAGUGAGGAAUAUUGGUCAAUGGACGAGAGUCUGAACCAGCCAAGUAGCGUGAAGGAUGACUGCCCUAUGGGUUGUAAACUUCUUUUAUAUGGGAAUAAAAUGUUCCACGUGUGGGUUUUUGUAUGUACCAUAUGAAUAAGGAUCGGCUAACUCCGUGCCAGCAGCCGCGGUAAUACGGAGGAUCCGAGCGUUAUCCGGAUUGAUUGGGUUUAAAGGGAGCGUAGGUGGAUUGUUAAGUCAGUUGUGAAAGUUUGCGGCUCAACCGUAAAAUUGCAGUUGAUACUGGCAGUCUUGAGUACAGUAGAGGUAGGCGGAAUUCGUGGUGUAGCGGUGAAAUGCUUAGAUAUCACGAAGAACUCCGAUUGCGAAGGCAGCUCACUGGACUGCAACUGACACUGAUGCUCGAAAGUGUGGGUAUCAAACAGGAUUAGAUACCCUUGUAGUC